This is a ribosomal RNA of Syngnathoides biaculeatus (alligator pipefish), 119 nucleotides long. NCBI's taxonomy places the organism in Eukaryota, Metazoa, Chordata, Actinopteri, Syngnathiformes, Syngnathidae. The record is from RefSeq and is a predicted model, not a curated record.
GCUUACAGCCAUACUGUCCUGAAAGUGCCUGAUCUCGUGCGAUCUCAGAAGCUAAGCAGGGUAAGGCCUGGUUAGUACUUGGAUGGGAGACCGCCUGGGAAUACCAGGUGCUGGAAGUA